UGGAUCCCCAGAUCGAAGGCAGACUGAAAACCAGGGUCACCCAGAUGAGCUCAUAUAAGGAAACCCAAUGCAAUCAUUAACAAGAAUGGAUGAGAGGUAAAGCACUUGACUUGGACUGAUUUCCACGAAGAAAUGCCAUUCUGACAGGUAUGAGGGGAUAUCUCACUGUGGUUCUGAUUUGCAUUUCCCU
Long non-coding RNA from Lutra lutra (Eurasian river otter), 190 nucleotides. RefSeq lists it as uncharacterized. The record is from RefSeq and is a predicted model, not a curated record. The transcript has 3 exons. Lineage: Eukaryota; Metazoa; Chordata; Mammalia; Carnivora; Mustelidae.